UCCUGAAUAUAAACUAUUUAUUACCGGGGAACUACAAAUACUAUUAUUUAAAACCCAAAGAACUUGGCGGUGUUUUAGACUAUUUAGGGGAACCUGUUUCAUAAUCGAUAACCCACGAAAUACCUAACCUUUUUUAGCAAUCAGUAUGUAUACCAUUGUCGUCAGGCAACUUUUAAAAACAAAAAAGUUGGCAACAAAUAUUUUAACUUUAACGUCAAAUCAAGGUGCAACCAAUAAAAAGGUGAAAAUGGGUUACAAUUACAAUUUAUAAUAUGAAUUAAGAUUUUAAAAACCUUAUGAAGGAGGACUUAAAAGUAAAAAAAUAAUUAUAAAAAUUUCUUGAAUUAAGCUCUGAAACGUGC
RNAcentral lists this ribosomal RNA (362 nucleotides) under Bithynia tentaculata. RNAcentral's name for it is "partial 12S ribosomal RNA". The record is from RNAcentral. Lineage: Eukaryota; Metazoa; Mollusca; Gastropoda; Littorinimorpha; Bithyniidae.